CGGACCCUUGCGCUGCGUCGGGCGAUGGAUAGCAACCUAGCGUUGGUGUGGGAGAUCGCCGGCCCCGGCAUCGCCGGCGCCAUCUUCGGCGCCGGCUGGUGGUUCUGGGUCGACGCCGUCGUCUGCAGCGCCGUCAAGAUCUCGUUCCUCCACUAUCUCCCCGGGAUAUUCGCAUCGCUGGCGGCGCUGAUGUUCAAUUGCGUCGG
This 206-nucleotide unclassified non-coding RNA is filed under the name Hevea brasiliensis (rubber tree). Lineage: Eukaryota; Viridiplantae; Streptophyta; Magnoliopsida; Malpighiales; Euphorbiaceae. The record is from RNAcentral.